UAGGGAAUCUUCGGCAAUGGGGGCAACCCUGACCGAGCAACGCCGCGUGAGUGAAGAAGGUUUUCGGAUCGUAAAGCUCUGUUGUAAAAGAAGAACGUGUGUGAGAGUGGAAAGUUCACACAGUGACGGUAACUUACCAGAAAGGGACGGCUAACUACGUGCCAG
Molecule: ribosomal RNA, 165 nt
Filed under: uncultured bacterium
Lineage: Bacteria
Description: partial 16S rRNA
Rfam family: Bacterial small subunit ribosomal RNA
Source: RNAcentral